Triticum aestivum (bread wheat) is the source of this 121-nucleotide non-coding RNA. Lineage: Eukaryota; Viridiplantae; Streptophyta; Magnoliopsida; Poales; Poaceae. The record is from Rfam.
UGGCGAUGAUGCUAGAACUAAGGCUUGUUUCUCAAAAUAUUCGCAGAUGCCGCCUAAGAGCUUUCGCCCUGCCAGGCUUGAGAGCUAAUGCUGCUACUUCCUUCCUUGGAUGUCUGAGCCA